CCGGGUCGGGUCACCGCGCCGGUUAUUGAAGUUGGAUGAUUAAUACGGCACCGUUUUAAGGCCACUGAAACAGGCCCUAAACGGUGCCGUUUUAUGCACUAUAUAAAUCACCUCUUAAGCCUCAGAUCAGAACCCUAGGCCAGCUUAAACACCAACCCCCCAAAGCCACCCCUUUUUUGCGCCGCUUCACAAUCGAACCCCCCCCCCCCCCAAAUUCAUUCCGAUCUGAACGGAGGAGGGCUUUGGCGACGCACCAACUCAGAAACCAAGAAAAAAGGGAUCCCUUCACAAAUUCGAAAACGGCCUUAUAUAGCCGGAAAUAAAAUAGAAAUUUAUAGGUAAUUUUUCUAAAUUUCUGUUAUUUUUCUCUGCUAUCCCUGUGUAUCUGCUGCUGUUGCUGCCUUUGUUGCGUUGCAGGUACGAGUACAGAAGUCGUACGGAGGCCAGCUGGAGGCUUGUGGUGGCGCACGUGCGUGAGGUGCGCGUGGCUAGGGAGAGGAGGCCAUUGUUGCGGCGGCUGGAGGGAAGUGAUGCUAAAGGGCUAGGGUUUCUGCAAUCGGGUUGGGGAUUUGGGCUGUAAUGGGUUUGUAAUUUGGGCCAUGCUUAGGUUUGAAUUUGGGCUUCUGUUAAUUGGACUGUUUAAUAAAACUGUGGUAUUUGGUUUUUUUAUUA
This is a long non-coding RNA of Gossypium raimondii (Peruvian cotton), 672 nucleotides long. RefSeq lists it as uncharacterized. NCBI's taxonomy places the organism in Eukaryota, Viridiplantae, Streptophyta, Magnoliopsida, Malvales, Malvaceae. The record is from RefSeq and is a predicted model, not a curated record. The transcript is spliced from 2 exons.